RNAcentral lists this ribosomal RNA (1132 nucleotides) under Leptolyngbya sp. UMPCCC 1211. RNAcentral's name for it is "bacterial SSU rRNA". It matches the Rfam family "Bacterial small subunit ribosomal RNA", at positions 356 to 1501 of the family's 1533-position model. The record is from RNAcentral. Lineage: Bacteria; Bacillati; Cyanobacteriota; Cyanophyceae; Leptolyngbyales; Leptolyngbyaceae.
GGGGAAUUUUCCGCAAUGGGCGAAAGCCUGACGGAGCAAGACCGCGUGGGGGAUGAAUGCCUAAUGGUUGUAAACCCCUUUUAUUCGGGAAGAUAAUGACGGUACCGAAUGAAUCAGCCUCGGCUAACUCCGUGCCAGCAGCCGCGGUAAUACGGAGGAGGCAAGCGUUAUCCGGAAUUAUUGGGCGUAAAGCGUCCGUAGGUGGUUGGACAAGUCAGCUGUUAAAGAGUGGUGCUUAACACCAUAAAGGCGGUUGAAACUGUUUAACUAGAGUUUGGUAGGGGUUGCGGGAAUUCCCAGUGUAGCGGUGAAAUGCGUAGAUAUUGGGAAGAACACCGGUGGCGAAAGCGCGCGACUGGACCUGAACUGACACUGAGGGACGAAAGCUAGGGGAGCGAAAGGGAUUAGAUACCCCUGUAGUCCUAGCUGUAAACGAUGGAUACUAGGUGUUGCCCGUAUAUCGACCCGGGCAGUGCCGUAGCUAACGCGUUAAGUAUCCCGCCUGGGGAGUACGCUCGCAAGAGUGAAACUCAAAGGGAAUUGACGGGGGCCCGCACAAGCGGUGGAGUAUGUGGUUUAAUUCGAUGCAACGCGAAGAACCUUACCAGGACUUGACAUGUCGCGAACCCUCUUGAAAGGGAGGGGUGCCUUCGGGAGCGCGAACACAGGUGGUGCAUGGCUGUCGUCAGCUCGUGUCGUGAGAUGUUGGGUUAAGUCCCGCAACGAGCGCAACCCACGUUUUUAGUUGCCAUCAUUAAGUUGGGCACUCUAGAGAGACUGCCGGUGACAAACCGGAGGAAGGUGUGGAUGACGUCAAGUCAGCAUGCCCCUUACGUUCUGGGCUACACACGUACUACAAUGCUACGGACAAAGGGCAGCAAGCUAGCGAUAGCAAGCAAAUCCCAUAAACCGUGGCACAGUUCAGAUUGCAGGCUGCAACUCGCCUGCAUGAAGGAGGAAUCGCUAGUAAUCCCAGGUCAGCAUACUGGGGUGAAUACGUUCCCGGGCCUUGUACACACCGCCCGUCACACCAUGGGAGUUGGUUUUGCCCGAAGUCGUUACUCCAACCGUUCGCGGAGGGGGACGCCGAAGGCAGGGCUGAUGACUGGGGUGAAGUCGUAACAAGGUAACC